Molecule: ribosomal RNA, 319 nt
Filed under: Leptodactylus rhodonotus (Peru white-lipped frog)
Lineage: Eukaryota; Metazoa; Chordata; Amphibia; Anura; Leptodactylidae
Description: partial 12S ribosomal RNA
Rfam family: Bacterial small subunit ribosomal RNA
Source: RNAcentral
GAGCUAAGCUUAAAACCCAAAGGACUUGACGGUACCCCAAAUCCACCUAGAGGAGCCUGUCCUAUAACCGAUAACCCCCGUUCAACCUCACCACUUUUUGCUCAUCAGCCUGUAUACCUCCGUCGUCAGCUUACCCCGUGAGCGUCAAAGUGAGCUUAAUGCCCCAUCGCCAACACGUCAGGUCAAGGUGCAGCUAAUGAAGUGGGAAGAGAUGGGCUACACUUUCUACUUUAGAAAAAACGAAAGACUACAUAUGAAACCUAGUCAGAAGGAGGAUUUAGAAGUAAAAAGAAAACAUGAGUGUUCCUUUUAACCCGGC